AACGAACGCUGGCGGCAUGCCUAACACAUGCAAGUCGAACGAGACCUUCGGGUCUAGUGGCGCACGGGUGCGUAACGCGUGGGAACCUGCCCUUAGGUUCGGAAUAACUCCCCGAAAGGGGUGCUAAUACCGGAUAAUGUCUUCGGACCAAAGAUUUAUCGCCUUUGGAUGGGCCCGCGUUGGAUUAGCUAGUUGGUAGGGUAAAAGCCUACCAAGGCGACGAUCCAUAGCUGGUCUGAGAGGAUGAUCAGCCACACUGGGACUGAGACACGGCCCAGAAUCCUACGGGAGGCAGCAGUGGGGAAUAUUGGACAAUGGGCGAAAGCCUGAUCCAGCAAUGCCGCGUGAGUGAUGAAGGCCGUAGGGUUGUAAAGCUCUUUUACCCGGGAUGAUAAUGACAGUACCGGGAGAAUAAGCUCCGGCUAACUCCGUG
Molecule: ribosomal RNA, 433 nt
Filed under: uncultured bacterium
Lineage: Bacteria
Description: partial 16S ribosomal RNA
Rfam family: Bacterial small subunit ribosomal RNA
Source: RNAcentral